RNAcentral lists this unclassified non-coding RNA (346 nucleotides) under soil metagenome. RNAcentral describes it as "partial contains 5.8S ribosomal RNA, internal transcribed spacer 2, and large subunit ribosomal RNA". The stretch from base 1 to 120 matches the Rfam family "5.8S ribosomal RNA", at positions 35 to 154 of the family's 154-position model. The record is from RNAcentral.
GAUGAAGAACGUAGUGAAAUGCGAUAAGUAAUGUGAAUUGCAGAAUUCCGUGAAUCAUCGAGUCUUUGAACGCACAUUGCGCCCCCUGGUAUUCCGGGGGGCAUGCCUGUCCGAGCGUCAUUGCUGCCCUCAAGCACGGCUUGUGUGUUGGGCCCCGUCCUCCGAUCCCGGGGGACGGGCCCGAAAGGCAGCGGCGGCACCGCGUCCGGUCCUCGAGCGUAUGGGGCUUUGUCACCCGCUCUGUAGGCCCGGCCGGCGCUUGCCGAUCAACCCAAAUUUUUAUCCAGGUUGACCUCGGAUCAGGUAGGGAUACCCGCUGAACUUAAGCAUAUCAAUAAGCGGAGGA